Molecule: transfer RNA, 72 nt
Filed under: Candidatus Tremblayella princeps
Lineage: Bacteria; Pseudomonadati; Pseudomonadota; Betaproteobacteria
Description: Candidatus Tremblaya princeps tRNA-His(GTG)
Rfam family: tRNA
About the family: Transfer RNA (tRNA) molecules are approximately 80 nucleotides in length. Their secondary structure includes four short double-helical elements and three loops (D, anti-codon, and T loops).
Source: RNAcentral
UCCUAGAUAGCUCAGCGGCAUAGCGGCGGACUGUGAAUCCGCUGGACCCUGGUUCUAUCCCAGGUAUCGGAG